GAGUCGGCUGCGUGGCUGCGGAGGCUCUUUUGAGGGUCGACGAGGAAAGUCCGAGCUUCACAAAGCAGGGUGACGGAUAACGUCCGCCGAAGGUGACUUCCGGGAAAGUGCAACAGAAAAUACCGCAAAAGUUUUACUUUUGUAAGGGUGAAAAGGCGAGGUAAGAGCUCACCGACCGCACGGUAACGCGCGGUGCCAUGUAAACCCCACCCGAAGCAAGAUAGGGUCGUUCCGAUACGCGGUCGCUUGCCGCGGAACGACCGCAAACAGUCGCUUGAGCUUGUCGGUAACGGCAAGCGUAGAUAGAUAGCCACGCCAGACAGAACUCGGCUUACAGGCCGACUCGC
Molecule: RNase P RNA, 347 nt
Filed under: bovine gut metagenome
Description: Bacterial RNase P class A
Rfam family: Bacterial RNase P class A
About the family: Ribonuclease P (RNase P) is a ubiquitous endoribonuclease, found in archaea, bacteria and eukarya as well as chloroplasts and mitochondria. Its best characterised activity is the generation of mature 5'-ends of tRNAs by cleaving the 5'-leader elements of precursor-tRNAs. Cellular RNase Ps are ribonucleoproteins.
Source: RNAcentral